AAAAACAGAGAAAAACGAGAACAACACUAACAUAAAUAAAGCGAGGGUUGCCAUGAUCCGUAGUGAAUUUGAAUUUUCGCGCGACACGAGCGCCAUCUCGGCAUCACCCGGUGCGAGAAAAAUUCACCGGGGGCUGGGCAACUCGAAAACCGGCUGAAAAAGUCAUGGACCCCUCACAAAAGCUUCAAACCCUGGGUCUGCCAUUGCGAUUGCCUGGCCCUCACCAGAAAUGUGUUCCGCCGCCAUUGAGGGGUAAGAGGUGGCAGGUGCGUUAGCCGUCCGCAUCCUCCGCCGGGGGCAGCACAGGAGCGAUCGCGCGACCUACCCGUGAACAAUCUCCCAACUCAUCUCCGAUUCUGAACACGAAGUGGCGCUCUAAAGAAACCUGAAUUCAUUGCCUGCAUUUGGUGGCUGUGAGAUGUGUUGACGAAAAGUAACGAAAAGGUUCGUGAGUGGUAUUUCCUGAGUGUCCUGGUGUUUAAAAGCCCCGAGGAAGUUUCCACGACCAUGUCGGACUCCGAGGCGAGCAAUUUUUCGGAGAACGAGAGCGAGCAUCGUGGUGGCAGCGAUAGCGAACCUGAGGAAAAUCGAUCGGGGAAAUCGGUGCUCGGAAGCGACGUAGGAAGUGGCCCCAGGUCUCGUACGGUUUCUCCGAGCAGAAGUCACUCCAGGUCGAGAUCCCGAUCUCCUUCCAGGUCGAGGUCGCGGUCGAGGUCUCGUUCGAGGUCACGGUCCCCAUCAGGGUCGGAGGAUGGCAAAGGAUUUGAAGCUGAAGAGGGCGAAGAAGAGGAGGUUCAGCCCGAAGAAGAACCCGAGGGUGAAGAUUUGGAUGGCAGCAGUGAGUAUGACGAGGAAGAGGAAGAAGAUGACGACAGACCGCGCAAGAAGAAGAAGAAGGACAGGUUCGGAGGGUUUAUUAUUGACGAAGCUGAAGUCGAUGACGAAGUAGAAGAUGACGAGGAGUGGGAAGAAGGAGCACAAGAGAUCGGGAUUGUUGGGAACGAAGUGGACGAACUUGGACCAACUGCUCGAGAGAUUGAAGGAAGAAGGCGUGGUACUAAUCUGUGGGAUUCGCAGAAGGAAGAUGAGAUCGAAGAGUAUCUCAGAAAGAAAUAUGCCGAUGAGUCGGUGGCUGCUCGCCAUUUUGGCGAUGGUGGAGAAGAAAUGAGCGAUGAGAUAACACAGCAGACUUUACUACCAGGAGUAAAAGACCCAAAUCUUUGGAUGGUAAAAUGUCGUAUCGGAGAGGAAAAGGCCACCGUCCUUCUGCUUAUGAGAAAAUUUAUCACUUACCAAUUUUCUGCCGAACCACUGCAGAUAAAAUCCGUCGUAGUUCCAGAGGGAGUAAAGGGUUACAUUUACAUAGAGGCUUAUAAACAGCCGCAUGUAAAAGCUAUGAUAGAAAAUGUAGGAAACUUGAGAAUGGGCAUCUGGAAACAGCAAAUGGUGCCCAUAAAAGAAAUGACUGAUGUUUUAAGGGUCGUAAAGGAGCAAACUGGUCUGAAAGCGAAGCAGUGGGUCAGGCUCAAAAGGGGAAUUUAUAAAGAUGACAUAGCCCAAGUAGAUUACGUUGACUUGGCGCAAAAUCAAGUUCACUUGAAGUUGCUCCCACGAAUCGACUAUACAAGGCCUCGAGGAGCUCUGAGAACAGCCCAAAGUGAAUCGGAGGCACUGAAGCGAAAGAAAAAGAGAAGACCACCUGCAAAACCCUUCGACCCGGAGGCCAUUCGAGCCAUCGGUGGAGAAGUAACCAGCGACGGUGACUUCCUCAUCUUCGAGGGGAAUAGAUACAGUCGAAAGGGAUUUCUUUACAAGAAUUUCACGACCAGCGCGAUAAUCGCGGAAGGCGUGAAGCCUACGUUAUCUGAAUUGGAGAGAUUCGAAGAAGCACCCGAAGGCAUCGACAUAGAAUUAAGUGGGACCCCUUCGACUGGGGCUGCUAUUGGGAAAGAAGACCAGGCAGUGACACAUUCCUUCAGCAACGGGGACAACGUGGAGGUGUGCGAGGGUGAAUUGAUGAACCUCCAGGGGAAAAUCAUCUCCAUCGAUGGGAACAUGAUCAUGGUCAUGCCGAAGCAUGAGGAGCUAAAGGAAGCCCUGGAGUUCCAGGCAAACGAACUCAGGAAGUAUUUCACUAUGGGAGACCAUGUCAAGGUGGUAGCCGGUAGAUACGAGGGUGAUACCGGACUGAUAGUGAGAGUAGAGCAGAACCGAGUGGUUUUGUUCUCCGACUUAUCAAUGCACGAGUUAGAGGUCCUCCCGAGAGACUUGCAGCUCUGCUCCGACAUGGCGACCGGCGUCGACAGUCUAGGUCAAUUCCAGUGGGGCGACCUCGUGCAGCUCGACGCCCAAACCGUGGGCGUAAUUGUGCGCCUAGAGCGUGAGAAUUUCCACGUAUUGUCGAUGCACGGGAAGGUGGUCGAGGCUCGUCCCCAGGGCUUGACGAAACGCCGAGAAAAUCGGAACGCCGUAGCCUUGGACUGCCAGCAAAACCCCAUUCAGAAGAAGGACAUCGUCAAAGUCGUCGACGGGCCACACGCCGGCAGGGGCGGCGAGAUCAAGCACCUCUACAGGAGCUUCGCCUUCUUACAUUCUAGAAUGUAUGUCGACAAUGGCGGUAUAUUCGUCUGCAAGACCAGGCAUCUGCAACUCGCCGGCGGCAUCAAGACCGGGACCUUGGGCUCCAUGUCGCCGAUGGUCGGGAUCAUGUCCCCGAGGAUCGCCUCGCCCAUGCACCCCAGCGGAGGUGGAAUCGGACGAGGUGGAGGCGGAGGUCGAGGUCGAGGCAGAGGUGGAGGUGCGAGACGCGAUAGGGAACUGAUAGGCACCACGAUAAAGAUCACCGGAGGCCCCUACAAAGGAAACGUAGGCAUAGUGAAGGACGCCACGGAGACGACUGCCAGGGUGGAGUUGCACUCCACUUGCCAGACCAUCUCCGUGGACAGGUCGCAUAUCGCGAAUGUCGGAGUCCCCACCAAGGACGGGGGUUUUGGGAGUUACAGCAGAACUCCGGCGUACACUGCUGGAAACCAGACGCCCAUGUACGCGAGAGAUGGCUCGAAAACUCCGAUGCAUGGCUCGCAAACGCCCAUGUACGAGAAUGGUUCUCGUACUCCUCAUUACGGCUCGAUGACGCCUUCGCACGACGGCUCGCGGACUCCUGGCCAGUCCGGAGCCUGGGACCCUACCGUUACCAACACUCCUGCAAGGACCAACGACUUCGACGGCUACACCAUGGAGGAGGGGGGCUCUCCAGGAUACGUCCCAGGGUUUCCGGCCACCGGUGGACCGUUUACCCCGCAAACUCCGGGCACCAUGUACGGGUCGGAGCAGAGUUACAGUCCUUAUCAGCCGAGUCCUAGUCCUGCUGCUAGCGCGACCGCGAGUCCAAGUCCUGCAGGAUACGUGGCCACGCCGUCUCCCUCGGGGACCGGGUACACGACCAGCCCCCACGCGGCUUUCGCCACUCCCUCUCCGAUGGGGUACAGUCCCAUGACUCCAGGAGUCGCAGGGAGCCCGUACAAUCCCCAGACCCCGGGAGCCGGUCUCGACGCUAAUGUUGGAGGAUCCAGCUCGAUCGGGAACUCCGAGUGGCACACGACUGACAUAGAGGUGCGAAUUCGAGAUUCGCACUCGGAUCCGGCACUGGCGGGACAACAGGGAGUCAUUCGCGGGAUCUCCGGAGGCAUGUGCGCCGUAUUUCUGCCAGCUGAGGAUCGGGUCGUGAAUCUGGUCUGCGAACAGCUGGAGCCGGUGGUGCCAUCUAGAGGCGACCGCGUCAAGGUGGUCCUCGGGGAAGCGCGCGAAGCCGUAGGCACCCUGCUCUCGAUCGACAACCAGGAAGGCGUUAUCAAGCUCAACGGCGACGAGGUGACGAUGCUUCACCUGCGAUAUCUCUGUAAAAUGAAGGCGCCCUCCACAUAAGUACGGUAUCUAAGGGAAGAUGGCGGGUCGGCGUCUUUGGUUAUCAGACCGGCGGUCUAGGUGUUAAGCCCAUUGUACCGGUGAUAUCUCCUGCUCGGCCGGCGGACCAGGACCGACUGAUAACCGCUCCUUAUCGGGCUCUGACGUUGGAUUCCGACUGUAGAUUAGUUCACUAGGAAUUCCCAAUGUUAAGGUGAAGUGAAACCUCUCUUAAAUCGGUCGAUUCGACCGAUAAGAUCGUUUCUCACCGAAGUUAUUGGAGAAUGAUAUAUGGAGGUCGGUAACGUAGGUGUCUAGAAGAGUUCUCUUUACCGAUGUCGACUUCUCGACGGGCUUCACUUCACCUUAACUGCAUCGAGAUGUGCAGGCGGGUGUUGGUGUACAUGUCUAGAUAAAUUCAGGGACGUCUAGGUCGACUAGAUUGAUUGGGAAAAUCGGUUCCCGGUUUGCGCACUAGAUUGAGUCCCGCGCCAAGUACACGCGGUCGCGAGGACGUUCACGUCGUUAGGAGUUGAAAUGUUCGGGAACAUGUACGUCUUUUGUCGCUACUUCAGGAAUGGUACGUGGAAGUGGUGCGAGACUCAAAAUCCCGAGAUCUUGUGAAAUUAUUUUUAUAUGUUUCUCACGACAAGUAAGGCGGAAUUUAGAUGUUAAUUGUCGAUACGGAUAAAUAUACGAGAGUAAGGAGCUGAA
RNAcentral lists this unclassified non-coding RNA (4617 nucleotides) under Orussus abietinus. RNAcentral's name for it is "transcription elongation factor SPT5, transcript variant X3". The record is from RNAcentral. Lineage: Eukaryota; Metazoa; Arthropoda; Insecta; Hymenoptera; Orussidae.